UAGGGAAUCUUCGGCAAUGGACGGAAGUCUGACCGAGCAACGCCGCGUGAGUGAAGAAGGUUUUCGGAUCGUAAAGCUCUGUUGUAAGAGAAGAACGAGUGUGAGAGUGGAAAGUUCACACUGUGACGGUAUCUUACCAGAAAGGGACGGCUAACUACGUGCCAGCAGCCGCGGUAAUACGUAGGUCCCGAGCGUUGUCCGGAUUUAUUGGGCGUAAAACGAGCGCAGGCGGUUAGAUAAGUCUGAAGUUAAAGGCUGUGGCUUAACCAUAGUAGGCUUUGGAAACUGUUUAACUUGAGUGCAAGAGGGGAGAGUGGAAUUCCAUGUGUAGCGGUGAAAUGCGUAGAUAUAUGGAGGAACACCGGUGGCGAAAGCGGCUCUCUGGCUUGUAACUGACGCUGAGGCUCGAAAGCGUGGGGAGCAAACAGGAUUAGAUACCCUGGUAGUCCACGCUGUAAACGAUGAGUGCUAGGUGUUAGACCCUUUCCGGGGUUUAGUGCCGUAGCUAACGCAUUAAGCACUCCGCCUGGGGAGUACGACCGCAAGGUUG
RNAcentral lists this ribosomal RNA (550 nucleotides) under uncultured bacterium. Its description in RNAcentral is "bacterial SSU rRNA". It matches the Rfam family "Bacterial small subunit ribosomal RNA", at positions 355 to 896 of the family's 1533-position model. The record is from RNAcentral.